CCAGUUUGUGGACAAAGUCCUAACUAUCUCACAAUAUAGGUCCCCAACCACUGACCAAACUCCAGUCCAGGCAGCCACCAGCUGGCCUGGUCUUGCUGCUUCCUUUAGCGGCUUCCAAGGUCCAGGGACAGGGGGUCUGGGCCACCAAGAGGCUCUGCUAGGCUGUCCCUGCAGCCACAGCCACCCCACUGGACCCCUGCCUCCCAUCUGAGAGGACAGCCCUCUUCCUGGAGCUGGGAUCUGACACUUGCUGAUACCAACGGCAGAUACCAGGUAAUGAGAUGUGAGCAGAAACAACCUGUGUCACACCUGGGCAGAAGCUUUAAAGGCCAGUGCUGCCCUUGUUGGGGAAGCAAGUAUAGAUAUGAAUCGUUCCACAACGCGGAGCGCCCCCUGCCGACCCAUGCUGGGCGUGUACUAUAGAUGAGGAGACUGAGGAUCAGAGAGAUAAAGUCACCUGUCCAAGGUCAUACUGUGGAUGUAGCUCUAACCCAAGUCCUCCUGACUGCAGCACAAAUUCUCAGCCACUACCAUAUCAGCCCCUUCAUUUGAAGGUGUCUUCAUCAUUGCCAAGAUUCCUUUUCCUCCCGGCCCCCUAAGUCUUCAGGAUUCCCUCAUCUCAUCUCCCCAGAGAAGUCAUGACACCAUCUCCUCCAAAAACAAAGUCAGAGCCUUCACUGUAGACGGACCUGUGUUCUUCGCCCAAACUCAGUCCACCUCAUCUCCAGAAAAACUAUAUGACUUGCCCUGGAGAAGAGGGGGAAAAAAAAACCUCUUCCCACCAACUCCACCUCCCAAAUUACUGGAUUUGGGGUAAAUUUACAGGCUGGAGACAGAAGAAUGGAUGUGUAUUUAGCUUUCAAAUUGACUAUUGUUUUAUGUGAAUGUCUGAUAAAGAAAACACAAUGGCUGCCAGGUGGGGGCUGGGAGUGAGAUUUCUCAUGUGGAGAAUUCUAGAAGACAUGCCUGGAGUUCUGGAGCCUGGAUCCUCUGGACAGACAAGUGGCCAGGCAACCAGGAUGGAGGCACCAAAGAUAACUGUGGGGUGGGGAGAAGACACCAGCCCAAGAGAUUUGACUGGGAUUGGUCUACGCAAGAAUGGAAAAUGGAGGCAGAAUGAGUUAGCAGCAAGCACUUGUACACUGCUAUAGAAUCUGAGGGACCCGGCCAGUGCUGGCCAAUAGAAAUAGAAUGUGAGCCACAGACAUAAUUUAAACUUUUCUUGUAGUCACUUAAAAACAUGGUAAAUCUAUGAAAUAGAAGAUUGCUCGUGCAAAUAAAUGAACUCCGCUUUGGUCUCAGUGAUCAGGGGUCCCACACUCAAGUGCCCUCAAUACCCAGAGAAGUAACUGAAAUAAAUGGAACAGAUAGGGUGUGAGCAAAGUUCACACGUUCCUCUAAGAAAAACAAUACAGCAAACAUGGUGAUUUAUGUUCAUUAAUAAGUUUCCGUAUGGGGACACUAAGGAAUAGUGGGGACUAUGGCAAAUUAGAGGAAGCAUGAGAAUCUAAAGUGGCUCCAGCAGACUCUUGUCUCAUAGGAAUCAGUGUUGCUAGAACUUCACUUUUUUUGAAAGAGGUGAAAGUUGGGAUUUUCUUUAAUUUAUUUUUUUGACAGGGUCUUGCUCUG
Gorilla gorilla gorilla (western lowland gorilla) is the source of this 1629-nucleotide long non-coding RNA. RefSeq lists it as uncharacterized. The record is from RefSeq and is a predicted model, not a curated record. NCBI's taxonomy places the organism in Eukaryota, Metazoa, Chordata, Mammalia, Primates, Hominidae. The transcript has 3 exons.